ACGGAGGAUCCAAGCGUUAUCCGGAUUUAUUGGGUUUAAAGGGUGUGUAGGCGGAUCAAUAAGUCAGGUGUGAAAAAAAUGGGCUUAACUCGAUUCCUGCCUUUGAUACUGUUGGACUAGAGUAUAAUUGACGUGACUGGAAUGUGAUGUGUAGCGGUGAAAUGCUUAGAUAUGUCGCAGAACGCCAAUCGUGAAGACAGGUAACGAAAUUAUUACUGACGCUCAUGCACGAAAGCGUGGGGAUCAAACAG
This 251-nucleotide ribosomal RNA is filed under the name uncultured prokaryote. Its description in RNAcentral is "partial 16S rRNA". It matches the Rfam family "Bacterial small subunit ribosomal RNA", at positions 525 to 775 of the family's 1533-position model. The record is from RNAcentral.